AGGUGUAGGAGACUAUUAUCUAUCAGAAGCGGAUGCAGGAGAUAGGUGUAGGAGACUAUUAUCUAUCAGAAGCUAAAGCAGGAGAUAGGUGUAGGAGACUAUUUUCAUGUUCAGCCUGCGUGAAACAGUCAGUGUUACUCAUUAAAAUCAGAAAUAAUCAUUAGAACUUAAUGAUUCAAACAUGAACAAUAAUAAAUAUUUCACCUCCACGUCCAGAAGAGCUGAACUUGAUUCUGUUGAAAACAACUUUUAAUGUUUUUCUACAAACUCGGGUUCCCACCAGAAUCCUGGCGGGCCUGGCGGGCCGGACCGUGGGAGCGGGGAGGGAUUUAUAAAUGCUGGGAAAACCCUGAAACUUCACGGACUUCAGACAGAACGGGAUUCUGGUUCUGAUCUCAUCUGCAGCAGAGCUGCUACGGAAGCCCAGAUGUCCAAACAGGCUAGCACACACUAGAGGUGCUCGCUGUCUCACCUGCUGGAAGGUGGCCUCCUCCAAUCCCUGCCUCCGGAACUCUGCGAUGACUGCUCUGAGGAAGAGCUGCUCCUGCGUCGACGCACACCUGAAACCACACACCGCUCCGUUACUCUGCUCUAGAUCUCAUCAACCAAUCACGAGCGGAGAAGCUCACCUGAUGGCAGUGAUGUAAGAGGAAGAGAACAUCUCCUCCAGCGCCUCCAUCACGUGACCCAUCCCCACCAAUCCUGAAGCAGAGGGGUCGGCGGCCGAGUGCUCACAGAUCUCCGUCGCUCGCCGACAGAUGUCCAAACAUCGCCGCGCGUCGCCCGACAGAGCCGCCACCUGCAGGAGGAGAGGGACGCUGAGCGAGAUGCAGGUGAGCUCAGGGAAGAUGAGGGGGCGGAGCUUACCUUCCUGGACACCAGCUGCAGAGCGUCCUCCUCGAAGGCCUUCACCUUGUUCAGCCGAGAUGUGAUGAUCUGCUGCAGCUGCUUGAAGGAGUACGGCUGGAAGGACAUCCGGGUCAGACCCUAGAACACCAGAACCACACGGGUCAGAGCCUAGAACACCAGAACCACACGGGUCAGACCCUAGAACACCAGAACCACACNGGUCAGAGCCUAGAACACCAGAACCACACAGGUCAGAGCCUAGAACACCAGAACCACACGGGUCAGAGCCUAGAACACCAGAACCACAGCUCGGCGCCGUCUACACCGUGCUAUCGCUGGAACGGGCCUGGGCUCCUGAUUCGGUCGUCGACACAAACUGGUUUUAUUUAUCGGUUAUUUUCUUUGUUCAGAUCUCAAACAGACAUUACUAACAGAGCCCAGAGGAAUGAUGCGACUCAGUCACUGUCUCACCAGCCUGCUGGCCACCCUGUUGAUCAUGAUUCUCUCAGGCAGGUCCAUGGUGUUGGCGAUGGUCAGAACCACCAGGCGGGCGUGGCGGCGCGUCGGCCAGUCGAACAGGUUGUACAUCACGUUCUGCUUCCUCGUCCACAGAAGGUCCAGCUGCAGGAGAGCAGACGUGCAGGAGGGAUGAGAGCGGCUUCAUACAGGAGUCUUGAACACAUUCAUGGAUUUAAGGAACGUUCUAGUCAAGGGAACUUCGAAGGAGUGGAUUAUUUUUAUUAUUUAACGAGUGUUGAACUUACAACUUUAUCCGUCUCAAAGUGGGAACAUUACUGCGCUCCGUUCCUAGAGACAACAGCAAAAGCUCCACUUACCUCAGGAAAAUAA
This 1698-nucleotide long non-coding RNA is filed under the name Nothobranchius furzeri (turquoise killifish). RNAcentral describes it as "lncRNA (ENSNFUG00015014871.1)". The record is from RNAcentral. Lineage: Eukaryota; Metazoa; Chordata; Actinopteri; Cyprinodontiformes; Nothobranchiidae.